Molecule: ribosomal RNA, 880 nt
Filed under: uncultured Haloferula sp.
Lineage: Bacteria; Pseudomonadati; Verrucomicrobiota; Verrucomicrobiia; Verrucomicrobiales; Verrucomicrobiaceae
Description: bacterial SSU rRNA
Rfam family: Bacterial small subunit ribosomal RNA
Source: RNAcentral
UCCUGGCUCAGAACGAACGCUGGCGGCGUGUUUAAGACAUGCAAGUCGUACGGGGGACUUUGAUAGCUUGCUAGAGAAGUUCCUAGUGGCGCACGGGUGAGUAACACGUGAGUGACAUGCCCUGCAGUGGGGGAUAGCCCGCCGAAAGGCGGAUUAAUACCCCAUGGUUUCCGCAAGGAUAAAGGUGGCUUUUAGCUGCCGCUGCAGGAUUGGCUCGCGUCCUAUCAGCUUGUUGGUGAGGUAACGGCUCACCAAGGCGACGACGGGUACCUGGUUUGAGAGGAUGAUCAGGCACACUGGAACUGAGACACGGUCCAGACACCUACGGGUGGCAGCAGUCGAGAAUAAUUCACAAUGGGGGAAACCCUGAUGGUGCAACGCCGCGUGGAGGAUGAAGGUCUUCGGAUUGUAAACUCCUGUCAUUUGAGAGCAAGACCUGGCGGUGAAUAGCCGACAGGGUUGAUAGUAUCGAAAGAGGAAGGGACGGCUAACUUCGUGCCAGCAGCCGCGGUAAUACGAAGGUCCCGAGCGUUGUUCGGAAUCACUGGGCGUAAAGGGAGCGUAGGCGGCAAGGUAAGUCAGGUGUGAAAUCCCGGGGCUCAACCCCGGAACUGCACCCGAUACUGCUUUGCUAGAGUAAUGGAGGGGUAGCUGGAAUUCUCGGUGUAGCAGUGAAAUGCGUGGAUAUCGAGAGGAACACUUAUGGCGAAGGCAAGCUACUGGACAUUUACUGACGCUGAGGCUCGAAGGCCAGGGGAGCGAAAGGGAUUAGAUACCCCUGUAGUCCUGGCAGUAAACGGUGUGCGCUUGGUGUGAGGGGUUUCGACCCCCCUUGUGCCGGAGCUAACGCGUUAAGCGCACCGCUGGGGAGUACGGUCGC